Molecule: long non-coding RNA, 1121 nt
Organism: Neopelma chrysocephalum (saffron-crested tyrant-manakin)
Lineage: Eukaryota; Metazoa; Chordata; Aves; Passeriformes; Pipridae
Exons: 8
Source: RefSeq, a predicted model, not a curated record
CCAGCCCGGCCUGCGACGGCGGCGAGCGCGGCGCCUCCACCAAGUUUCCGGGCGGGGAAGAAAGUCGAAACCUACGUGAGAGGAGGAGGAGGACAGCGCAGCCGCCCAGGUCCAGGUUCCAGUGUUCACAUUGAGGCAGCUCCCUGUAACUCUCAUGCUUCAAACCAGUGGGGUUUAAAAGUUCUCCAGCUAUGUUAGCACUACAUCCAUGCCUUGGAAAUGCCCUUUCUGCAGAUGAGAACAUCCUGAGACCAUUUUUGGAAAUCCACUGGAACUGAGGCACACCAGCAAUCCAUCUUUGCUCCGCAAGAUCCAUGUUACCACAGGACCUGAAGUGUCAGUACUGGACUUGAUCUUCGGUGAUGCUCAGCCCAAAUGUCUGGACUCCCCUCCCUUAUUGACUUCUUGAAGAAAAGAGGGACAUGGUGAUAAUUUCCAUGACAACACAGAAAGAUUCCAAAACCAGAGAUUUCUGACUAAAUAUAUGAAGGUUGUUGAAAAGCACAACCGCAAGAAUUCUGCCUACUCACUGAGAAUAACAGACAGAAGAGUUAAGCCUCUGUGUGUGUGACAAUGCUUGUACCACGUGUAAAGUCCCGGGAUUCCCAUCUCCUGGUUAUCCCAGAUAUGCACAGGGAUGGGAACUGGGCAUCCUCUCUACUUGGGUGCUUCAGGAACUGAUCCAAAGAGAAACCUCUGGCUGGACAACUGUUAAAGAGAAUGUGACUCGGGGAAAAAGGAAACCUUCAAAAGAAUGAGAAGUGUGAGAAACUGCCUACAAAAUGCUGCUCCAAGGAUGUAUUUUGCCCAAAUAAUCACUUUCAGAAACAGUCAACAUGCUUUUAAAGAAAAAUAAUCUGGAAAAAUAGUGAUUUAAAAUAAAAGCUCCCUUUGAAGAGACCCUGUAAGGCUGAAGCUUGCAUUUGAACAAAUCUCUCCCCAAGUUUCUAAGAACACUUUCUAAACUGCCAUUUAAAAACUUUCAGUUACUACUUUUCACUAUUUAUGCUCUUCAUUGACUUUUUGCCUUUAUUUUCCACUCUUGUGACCAAACAAAUCUGGUACCUUUUGCUUGCUCAGUACAGCUCACGUCACUCUCCUCGUGUCCUGCUGCAGUUCAU